Molecule: non-coding RNA, 217 nt
Organism: Pelobates cultripes (western spadefoot toad)
Lineage: Eukaryota; Metazoa; Chordata; Amphibia; Anura; Pelobatidae
Source: the annotation of a GenBank genome assembly
CUUGCAUCUAAACUUUAUCCAAAACUAGGUGCCCUGUACAGAAACAAAUCCUGUCUAAGCCCUACAGUAAAUGAAAAGAUUGUACAGCAAAUGCUGAUGCCAAUCAUUGAUUAUGGGGAUGUAGUAUAUGCAUCUGCAUCGCAAUCCCACAUUAAUAAACUCAACACAUUGUAUAACUCGUUCUGCCGAUUUGUGCUACAAUCUAAUUACAGGACCC